RNAcentral lists this ribosomal RNA (300 nucleotides) under uncultured Neokomagataea sp. Its description in RNAcentral is "partial 16S ribosomal RNA". The stretch from base 52 to 300 matches the Rfam family "Bacterial small subunit ribosomal RNA", at positions 547 to 795 of the family's 1533-position model. Lineage: Bacteria; Pseudomonadati; Pseudomonadota; Alphaproteobacteria; Acetobacterales; Acetobacteraceae. The record is from RNAcentral.
GGAAAAGCGGGGCGGGCGGGAGGGGGAGUGGGGGGGGUGAGAGCGUUAUAGGGAAUUCAGUGGCGGAAAGGGAACGCAGGCGGUUGGUGAAGUUAGAUGGGAAAGCCCCGGGCUCAACCUGGGAAUUGCAUUUAAAACUGUCCAGCGAGAGUCUUGUAGAGGGGGGUAGAAUUCCAGGUGUAGCGGUGAAAUGCGUAGAGAUCUGGAGGAAUACCGGUGGCGAAGGCGGCCCCCUGGACAAAGACUGACGCUCAGGUGCGAAAGCGUGGGGAGCAAACAGGAUUAGAUACCCCAGUAGUC